Arachis ipaensis is the source of this 426-nucleotide non-coding RNA. NCBI's taxonomy places the organism in Eukaryota, Viridiplantae, Streptophyta, Magnoliopsida, Fabales, Fabaceae. The record is from RefSeq and is a predicted model, not a curated record.
CUAGGCCUCGUCACAAAUGAAAUUAAAUUAAAUGAUAUAUAAUUGAUAUGCGUCGAUACCUAAAACCCAUUGAUUUAAGGGCCUCGUGAGUUGUUCCCUCAACAGUUAACACCAUCCAUUCUUGUCACGAAAACGCCCCCACAGACGCAAUCACAAUCUCAUCCCUUAUUUACCUCCAAUUAUUUUCUCUGGCCUAUAGGUGGCCAGGUGAAGAUCUCAAUUUGAAUUAAAGGAAGAGAUCCAUGUAUAUUCCCGGACGCGUAGCUCGAUCACAAAUAUUAUUGCAUAUAUGCUAAGUGUUGAUUUUGAGAGCAGCCGGAUAAAAUAGUGUAUUAUUAUUAGCAUAACAACAAUAUUAUUCCUGAGAGUAUAAAAUCGGUAUUUAUUUUUAUAAAAAUAUUUUUAUAUUCUUAAACCUUUAUCUUU